AUUUUGCUUUUGAUGGUCUGAUGCAUACCUUUGGGAGAAGCGGGUUGUCUCCAUUGUAUGAAAGAACCCAGCCGUUGCUCCGUCGGAAGGAGCCGCCGACACUAUCGCCAGGCGUUCGUCCUCACCUUGGCAAGUCAAGCAUUUUAAGUGGAAGAUUGUGGUGAAAUCUUGUUCUUCGAGUAGGUAAAGGUCUGCAGGGCACUGAUAUCACUGGGUGUAUUCCUGAUCUCAUCACAUGCUAAAAAUGUUGCUAUAGGAGAAAGGCCAGGUGUAUCCUUUUGCAAAAUCUGAUUAUCAGCCGGUGUAGCUGCCUAUUUGUGUCUCAGCCUAAGCUCCUCAACUUAAAUGAAUUGGCGGCAGUGGAAGCGAACAACGUCUGAUAGAUCUAGAGUACGAUUAUGAGCACAUGCUUUUUGGCAGCGACCCACUUGAUGGUUAUCACUGCCCCGGUACAGCAAGGCAAGUUGUGUACAUGGUAUUGCAGUGGUCAGCAACGGCUCAGCUCUACCGUGCACAAGUCAAUAGCUUCAGCUCCUAUGAGUUAGUUCUAAGCUCAGUUCAUCUACGUAAUUUCCUAUACAUGCUACAUAUACACUUUUUAACCAAGGAUUUAAUGUAUAUCACAUACAUUAUCGACGGAAAAGUUUGAUUUUUCUAUAUGCCCUUCUUCUGCUUAUGUUCAGUUCAGAGCCAUGGUUAUCGGCCAAACACAUAAUUUUUCUUGUUCGAAGUUUCUGGCCCCUAUGCAGCUAUGCUUGCGACCCAUCAUCAACCGUUGCACUUAUGAUGCAUGUAACUUUAUUGGAGAAACCUUAACUUGUGGUGGCCUCACUACUCUUACACAUACGCUCCAAUGACUUUUUUUCUGUUUGAUAUAUGGGGUGUCUGUGUUGUUCUCCGUUUCGUGCUUUAGGAAUGUUCAGCCUUGUCCUGGAACUAUAAUUAUAUGCCAAUCAAUCAUAAAUAAUCUGGCCAAGAAUUAUGUGGUGUACAAAUACUUAGAACUGAUUUAUUGUUAUUAGAGGUGACUUGAUUUUUGACUGAAAAUAUAAAUUGAAUUUUCAUUUUUUAGCUUUAUUGGUUUGUAGGUCAAUGCUU
Non-coding RNA from Lolium perenne, 1098 nucleotides. The record is from RefSeq and is a predicted model, not a curated record. NCBI's taxonomy places the organism in Eukaryota, Viridiplantae, Streptophyta, Magnoliopsida, Poales, Poaceae.